AGUGAAGUGCCUGAAAAAGGAUAACCAUGAUAGGGUUAAUCAUGUGAAGACUAAAUUCACCUACACUA
RNAcentral lists this transfer RNA (68 nucleotides) under Hermerius intermedia. RNAcentral describes it as "tRNA-Ile". Lineage: Eukaryota; Metazoa; Arthropoda; Insecta; Coleoptera; Cerambycidae. The record is from RNAcentral.